Molecule: ribosomal RNA, 266 nt
Filed under: uncultured bacterium
Lineage: Bacteria
Description: partial 16S ribosomal RNA
Rfam family: Bacterial small subunit ribosomal RNA
Source: RNAcentral
GUCCACGCCGUAAACGUUGGGUGCUAGACGUCGGGGGUAUUGACCCCCUCGGUGUCGAAGCUAACGCAUUAAGCACCCCGCCUGGGGAGUACGGCCGCAAGGCUAAAACUCAAAAGGAAUUGACGGGGGCCCGCACAAGCGGUGGAGCAUGUGGUUCAAUUCGAAGCAACGCGCAGAACCUUACCUGGGCUUGACAUCCGCGGAAUCCCUCGGAAAACGAGGGAGUGCCUUCGGGAGCCGCGAGACAGGUGCUGCAUGGCUGUCGU